UACAGAGGGUGCGAGCGUUAAUCGGAAUUACUGGGCGUAAAGGGCGCGUAGGCGGCUUUUUAAGUCUGAUGUGAAAGCCCUGGGCUUAACCUAGGAAUUGCAUCAGAUACUGGAUAGCUAGAGUCAAGUAGAGGGAAGUGGAAUUUCCAGUGUAGCGGUGAAAUGCGUAGAGAUUGGAAAGAACACCAGUGGCGAAGGCGACUUCCUGGACUUGUACUGACGCUGAGGCGCGAAAGCAUGGGGAGCAAACAGG
This 253-nucleotide unclassified non-coding RNA is filed under the name uncultured Gammaproteobacteria bacterium. RNAcentral's name for it is "contains 16S-23S intergenic spacer region". It matches the Rfam family "Bacterial small subunit ribosomal RNA", at positions 524 to 776 of the family's 1533-position model. Lineage: Bacteria; Pseudomonadati; Pseudomonadota; Gammaproteobacteria. The record is from RNAcentral.